AGUUUGAUCCUGGCUCAGGACGAACGCUGGCGGCGCGCCUAACACAUGCAAGUCGAACGAGCGAGAGAGAGCUUGCUUUCUCGAGCGAGUGGCGAACGGGUGAGUAACGCGUGAGGAACCUGCCUCAAAGAGGGGGACAACAGUUGGAAACGACUGCUAAUACCGCAUAAGCCCACGACCCGGCAUCGGGUUGAGGGAAAAGGAGCAAUCCGCUUUGAGAUGGCCUCGCGUCCGAUUAGCUAGUUGGUGAGGUAACGGCCCACCAAGGCAACGAUCGGUAGCCGGACUGAGAGGUUGAACGGCCACAUUGGGACUGAGACACGGCCCAGACUCCUACGGGAGGCAGCAGUGGGGAAUAUUGCACAAUGGGGGAAACCCUGAUGCAGCGACGCCGCGUGGAGGAAGAAGGUCUUCGGAUUGUAAACUCCUGUUGUUGAGGAAGAUAAUGACGGUACUCAACAAGGAAGUGACGGCUAACUACGUGCCAGCAGCCGCGGUAAAACGUAGGUCACAAGCGUUGUCCGGAAUUACUGGGUGUAAAGGGAGCGCAGGCGGGAAGACAAGUUGGAAGUGAAAUCCAUGGGCUCAACCCAUGAACUGCUUUCAAAACUGUUUUUCUUGAGUAGUGCAGAGGUAGGCGGAAUUCCCGGUGUAGCGGUGGAAUGCGUAGAUAUCGGGAGGAACACCAGUGGCGAAGGCGGCCUACUGGGCACCAACUGACGCUGAGGCUCGAAAGUGUGGGUAGCAAACAGGAUUAGAUACCCUGGUAGUCCACACCGUAAACGAUGAUUACUAGGUGUUGGAGGAUUGACCCCUUCAGUGCCGCAGUUAACACAAUAAGUAAUCCACCUGGGG
RNAcentral lists this ribosomal RNA (855 nucleotides) under uncultured bacterium. RNAcentral's name for it is "bacterial SSU rRNA". It matches the Rfam family "Bacterial small subunit ribosomal RNA", at positions 10 to 878 of the family's 1533-position model. The record is from RNAcentral.